This 532-nucleotide long non-coding RNA is filed under the name Capsicum annuum. Its description in RNAcentral is "long non-coding RNA (CANN_LNC000268)". Lineage: Eukaryota; Viridiplantae; Streptophyta; Magnoliopsida; Solanales; Solanaceae. The record is from RNAcentral.
UCCAUUUCGUCCUUUAAAAUUGUGAAUAUAAUAUACCGUCUCCAUCUUAGGAAAAAGAGUCUUGGAAAGUGCAGCCAGCUUCGGAUAGAAGAAUGGCGGAUAAUCUAAUUUUUGUCAAAGAUAGCAUGGAAUAAUUGUUAAGAAGAUCUCUUUUCUUCACUGUAAUUCAUAAAAGGCAGCAAAAUAUGUACUAUGAUGUCCAUCCUAUUUACAGUGCAACAAGUUACACAUUACCACGAUAUGCAGAUAAUCAUGCCGAGCAAUAAGAAACUUUUAUUCUUUAAUUGGACUAAAGAAAAAUAAAUUUAGACUCAAGAGUAAAAGUCUGAGUGAGCUUUCAAUAAUAGUUGUUAGUGAAAUAAGAGAUCAUAAUCACAAUAAGUACUAGGACAAAUAUAUAGAACUAUCAAAAUUGGUGGUAAGAAAGGAUACAACCCGAUCUUAUUCUAUCAAGCUCUCCGUUGAAUAUAAUCAAUUUCCUGGAAGUGUUUGACACUGCUGUUUUGUAUAGCUCUUCCACGACAAGCAUCUC